GACGAACGCUGGCGGCGUGCUUAACACAUGCAAGUCGAACGGAAAGGCCCUGCUUUUGUGGGGUGCUCGAGUGGCGAACGGGUGAGUAACACGUGAGUAACCUGCCCUUGACUUUGGGAUAACUUCAGGAAACUGGGGCUAAUACCGGAUAGGAGCUCCUGCUGCAUGGUGGGGGUUGGAAAGUUUCGGCGGUUGGGGAUGGACUCGCGGCUUAUCAGCUUGUUGGUGGAGUAGUGGCUUACCAAGGCUUCGACGGGUAGCCGGCCUGAGAGGGUGACCGGCCACAUUGGGACUGAGAUACGGCCCAGACUCCUACGGGAGGCAGCAGUGGGGAAUAUUGCACAAUGGGCGGAAGCCUGAUGCAGCAACGCCGCGUGCGGGAUGACGGCCUUCGGGUUGUAAACCGCUUUCGCCUGUGACGAAGCGUGAGUGACGGUAAUGGGUAAAGAAGCACCGGCUAACUACGUG
This 468-nucleotide ribosomal RNA is filed under the name uncultured bacterium. RNAcentral describes it as "partial 16S ribosomal RNA". It matches the Rfam family "Bacterial small subunit ribosomal RNA", at positions 28 to 507 of the family's 1533-position model. The record is from RNAcentral.